This 237-nucleotide long non-coding RNA is filed under the name Physcomitrium patens. RNAcentral describes it as "long non-coding RNA (PPAT_LNC014007)". The record is from RNAcentral. Lineage: Eukaryota; Viridiplantae; Streptophyta; Bryopsida; Funariales; Funariaceae.
UCCGUGACAUUAUCCCCCUUUCUAAGAAUGAAUUCUACAAGGAGUAGUCUUCAUAUGUUGAAAAAGUCGAAGAUGCAAUGAAUUAUAUUUGCCACAUAUUCCGAUCUUUGCUUUCUUUGAAGAUGGUUGAUAGGCCCUCUCAGCCAUUGAUAGUGUUUCAUACCAUAGCGAGAAGACCACCCUAUUAUUUGCUCAUUAUUAAGGCCUUCAUAACUUCUUUCAAAUAAAACAUUUAGA